Molecule: long non-coding RNA, 1160 nt
Filed under: Gallus gallus (chicken)
Lineage: Eukaryota; Metazoa; Chordata; Aves; Galliformes; Phasianidae
Description: lncRNA (ENSGALG00010005173.1)
Source: RNAcentral
AUUUGUCUAAUACAGGUCAUAUAUUAGGCUUUUCUUUUUCAGUGGUCAACGUGGUUCAAUUUCCAGCUAGGACAUAAUUUGCACAAUAACCUGAAGUUGAAAUUAAUACUAAGAAACAAGCUGUACUGUGUGUAAGAAAAAUCCAUUAAGCUGUCUGCAUUAGAGGAAGAAGCUGACCAAUGGAGUUGAAGCAAAUGUGUUAUACCGUAAGAAGAAAGGUUCAGACAAAUAUCACAGGAACCAGGAUGACACUCCAAUAAGUGAAGUAUGAAGAAACUUUGUCUUUUCUGAGCCAUCUUCUCAUAUGUAGCUGAAAGCUACACAGAGGAAGAAGAAAUGAUUCUACAGACCUACUGUCACACUGUGUUUCCAUGGGUGCGUGGGCAAACUGAUCUAGUACUUGAUCCAGCAGCUGUCUGUGACAGAGAAGGUGGAACUUGACUGACGUCCCUUCCAACCCAAGCCAUUGUAUGGUUCUAUGAAUAUAUUCCAAAUAUCCGAAGGUAAUGCUUUGUUGUAUUUAAAACUUGCGUUCUUAUUACUAAACAUUUCCAAUAGAUCUGGAAUCUCACUCCAUUUUUUCUUCUAGUUUAGAAAAGCUGGAGAUUACACUUCAGAAAGUCAAACUUUCUCUUAGAAACAUAUGGUGAUGCAAGUUGGAUGCAUACUGAAAAAACUUGAGAAAGUUUCAGAAAGCAGAAGAGGAUCAGGAUAGAUUUACUUGCUGCUUUCACCUUGUUCCGACACUGCUUGUUUGCAGAAAAGACUUGCUUACAUAAUUUCACUGCCUUUCUGCCUUUUCAUGUGGGGACAAUACUUAAACUGGUACAACACAAGCUAUAUUACAGUAGAGAUGGACAUCACAACUAAUAUGAAACCAAAGAGCAACAUUUGCUGUACUUACUCAAGAAUAUAAAAGAGCUUUUAACCUAAAUCUGUUGACAUGAAGUGAAAAAUGAAAUGGUUUUCUCUUGGAAAUUAAAUAGAACUGAAAGUGGGUUUUGCUGUUGUUACAAUUUCUGCCAUUGGUUCAUUUCGUAGAAUUACUUCUAUAAUUUCAAGUGUAGCCCACCAAAGUUAAUACAGUGCUACAAAAACAUCAUAAGUUCAAAAGCUCAGACUACCAGUCUUCAUUUCAUAAACUUAUUUUUUUACUUACA